AGUUACUUACUUAUGAUAUUUGAUUAGCACCAAACAUUGAGGUAACAGAAUAACAAUAAAGAAGAUAAUAUACAUAUCCAAGAACAAAGACAUACUGAUUGUUGGGCUUUUGGCCCAUUAAAUGUUUGAUCUGCUUGUAAAACCCUUUUAGCCCUUUGGGCUUUAUCGAAAUGAGCUUUGCCGAGAAAGGAAAAAAACAAGAAGAAGAAAGGUGGAAGAUAGAAAAAGACCGGCACCGAAUUAAGAAAUAAAUUUUCGGUCGGAAGCAAACAGCCACUAUAAAAACCAAAGCAUCAACCCUCCUAGUUUUCGUAUCCCACUGAAAGCUCAGAGAGCCCCCGUCCCCGACAUGAGAAGCAAAAUACUCUAUACAGGAUCGGUUAUGCAGGACGUCCUAGCGAGAAAGGAUAAAGAUGAGCUUGAAAGUCUGAUUCGGAUAUUGAGUAAUCGUGGUAUGAGAGGCUGCAGGGGAACAUGGGAGGAAUUUGUAAAAGUAUACUUCCCAACGUUUGGACGAAUCAUUACUUGUCCUUCGUUUUAUUCACGAGAGGGCCUCCUCACUGUCCUAGCUACAUGAUGAACAGGUUAUGACAAAACAUGUACAAUUGUUUGAUAUCUGAGACUUAUCUAUAUAUUGGUUAUGUGUGUGUUAUUAUUACUCUCAAGCUAUUCUUGGCUUGGAAAAUGAGUCGCGGCCAUCAUCUGUCUCACGUAGUUGUCGCAAAGGAACCUUCGGACGGUACUCAUUUGCAGAGGCUGGUUCGCUUGACUCAUACUCGUGAUGACCACCCAUUAGACUACUUUUUGCCCACCCCAGGACAAGGAUUGGGUUGUCACGAGGAGAGGGGAUGGUAAAGUCGGUAGUAAGAUGGUUGCUGUUUGUUGUGAGAUGGUUCUUUGUGAUGAUGGGAGUGAAGCUGUUGUUAGAGUUUCUGCAGUUGACCGUGAUUUAAAGGUGAUUCUUGACGAAUUUGUGAAACCGAAUAAACCAGUUUCUGACUACAGAACCGAUGUUACCGGGCUUACUGCUCAAGAUCUUGAAACUGCUUCUACUCUUUCUGUCGCGGAUUUACAGG
Arabidopsis lyrata subsp. lyrata is the source of this 1076-nucleotide long non-coding RNA. RefSeq lists it as uncharacterized. The transcript has 5 exons. The record is from RefSeq and is a predicted model, not a curated record. NCBI's taxonomy places the organism in Eukaryota, Viridiplantae, Streptophyta, Magnoliopsida, Brassicales, Brassicaceae.